RNAcentral lists this ribosomal RNA (483 nucleotides) under uncultured bacterium. RNAcentral's name for it is "partial 16S ribosomal RNA". It matches the Rfam family "Bacterial small subunit ribosomal RNA", at positions 28 to 507 of the family's 1533-position model. The record is from RNAcentral.
GAUGAACGCUGGCGGCGUGCCUAACACAUGCAAGUCGAACGGAGUCGUUUUGGAAAUCUCUUCGGAGAUGGAAUUCUCGACUUAGUGGCGGACGGGUGAGUAACGCGUGAGCAAUCUGCCUUUAAGAGGGGGAUAACAGUCGGAAACGGCUGCUAAUACCGCAUAAAGCAUUAAAUUCGCAUGUUUUUGAUGCCAAAGGAGCAAUCCGCUUUUAGAUGAGCUCGCGUCUGAUUAGCUAGUUGGCGGGGUAACGGCCCACCAAGGCGACGAUCAGUAGCCGGACUGAGAGGUUGAACGGCCACAUUUGGACUGAGACACGGCCCAGACUCCUACGGGAGGCAGCAGUGGGGAAUAUUGCGCAAUGGGGGAAACCCUGACGCAGCAACGCCGCGUGAUUGAAGAAGGCCUUCGGGUUGUAAAGAUCUUUAAUCAGGGACGAAACAAAUGACGGUACCUGAAGAAUAAGCUCCGGCUAACUACGUG